RNAcentral lists this ribosomal RNA (405 nucleotides) under uncultured bacterium. Its description in RNAcentral is "partial 16S ribosomal RNA". It matches the Rfam family "Bacterial small subunit ribosomal RNA", at positions 30 to 526 of the family's 1533-position model. The record is from RNAcentral.
AUUGAACGCUGGCGGCAGGCUUAACACAUGCAAGUCGAACGAGUGGCGGACGGGUGAGUAAUGCUUGGGCAUCUAGCUUAUGGAGGGGGAUAACUACGGGAAACUGUAGCUAAUCCCGCGUACCAUAGGAUGAGCCCAAGUGGGCUUAGGUAGUUGGUGAGGUAAAGGCUCACCAAGCCGACGAUCCCUAGCUGGCCUUGGAGGAUGACCAGCCACACUGGGACUGAGACACGGCCCAGACUCCUACGGGAGGCAGCAGUGGGGAAUAUUGCGCAAUGGGGGAAAGCUGACGGAGCCACGCCGCGUGAAUGAAGAAGGCUUUCGGGUUGUAAAGCUCUUUUGGUAGCGAGGCGUUAUCUACAGAAGAAGCACCGGCUAACUCCGUGCCAGCAGCCGCGGUAAUAC